CACGUAGGGCGCAAGCGUUGUCCGGAAUUAUUGGGCGUAAAGAGCUCGUAGGCGGUCUGUUGCGUCCGCUGUGAAAACUCGGGGCUUAACCCCGAGCCUGCAGUGGAUACGGGCAGACUAGAGGUAGGUAGGGGAGAAUGGAAUUCCCGGUGUAGCGAUGAAAUGCGCAGAUAUCGGGAGGAACACCGGUGGCGAAGGCGGGUCUCUGGGCCUUACCUGACGCCGAGGAGCGAAAGCGUGGGGAGCGAACAGG
Molecule: ribosomal RNA, 253 nt
Filed under: uncultured bacterium
Lineage: Bacteria
Description: partial 16S ribosomal RNA
Rfam family: Bacterial small subunit ribosomal RNA
Source: RNAcentral